UUCGCAAUGCCCGAAAGGGUGACGAAGCGACGCCGCGUGUGGGAAGAAGGCCUUCGGGUUGUAAACCACUGUCGGGAGUUAAGAAAUGCAAGGAUAUUAAUAGUGUCUUUGUUUGACUAAGGCUCCGGAGGAAGCCACGGCUAACUCUGUGCCAGCAGCCGCGGUAAUACAGAGGCGGCAAGCGUUGUUCGGAAUUAUUGGGCGUAAAGAGCACGUAGGCGGCUAUGUAAGUCGGUUGUGAAAGCCUUCCGCUCAACGGAAGAACAGCAUCCGAUACUACAUGGCUUGAGUGCGGGAGGGGAGAGUGGAACUUCUGGUGGAGCGGUGAAAUGCGUAGAUAUCAGAAGGAACGCCGGCGGCGAAAGCGGCUCUCUGGCCCACAACUGACGCUGAGUGUGCGAAAGCUAGGGGAGCAAACGGGAUUAGAUACCCCGGUAGUCCUAGCCGUAAACGAUGGGCACUAAGUAGAGGGGUUUU
RNAcentral lists this ribosomal RNA (477 nucleotides) under uncultured bacterium. Its description in RNAcentral is "bacterial SSU rRNA". It matches the Rfam family "Bacterial small subunit ribosomal RNA", at positions 365 to 832 of the family's 1533-position model. The record is from RNAcentral.